GAUCAUGGCUCAGAGUGAACGCUGGCGGCAGGCCUAAUACAUGCAAGUCGAACGGCAGCACAGUGGAGCUUGCUCCAUGGGUGGCGAGUGGCGGACGGGUGAGGAAUACAUGGGAAUCUGCCCAGUCGUGGGGGAUAACGUAUGGAAACGUACGCUAAUACCGCAUGCGCCCUUCGGGGGAAAGUCGGGGACCGCAAGGCCUGACGCGAUUGGAUGAGCCCAUGUUCGAUUAGCUAGUUGGCGGGGUAACGGCCCACCAAGGCGACGAUCGAUAGCUGGUCUGAGAGGAUGAUCAGCCACACUGGAACUGAGACACGGUCCAGACUCCUACGGGAGGCAGCAGUAGGGAAUAUUGGACAAUGGGCGCAAGCCUGAUCCAGCCUUGCCGCGUGAGUGAAGAAGGCCCUCGGGUUGUAAAGCUCUUUUGUUGGGGAAGAAAAGCAGUUGGUUAAUACCCGAUUGUUCUGACGGUACCCAAAGAAUAAGCACCGGCUAACUUCGUG
Molecule: ribosomal RNA, 503 nt
Filed under: uncultured bacterium
Lineage: Bacteria
Description: bacterial SSU rRNA
Rfam family: Bacterial small subunit ribosomal RNA
Source: RNAcentral